Xenorhabdus innexi is the source of this 185-nucleotide non-coding RNA. It matches the Rfam family "6S / SsrS RNA". Rfam says of the family: E. coli 6S RNA was the first non coding RNA to be sequenced, but its function was unknown until recently. It consists of 184 nucleotides that fold into an extended hairpin structure with a large single-stranded internal bulge. The record is from Rfam. NCBI's taxonomy places the organism in Bacteria, Pseudomonadati, Pseudomonadota, Gammaproteobacteria, Enterobacterales, Morganellaceae.
AUUUCUCUGAGGUGUUCGUGAGCGGGGAUGUCCCCUGAGCCGAUAUUUCAUAUCUGAUAGAAUGUGGUGCUCCGUUUCUUGUGAGCAUGCUUGGCUAGUCCAAGAAGCCUAAUAGGGGCGACACCAUGUUCACCUUGAACCAAGGGUUCAAGGGUUACCACCUGCAGCGGCAUCUUGGAGAACCC